UGGGGAAUCUUCCGCAAUGGACGAAAGUCUGACGGAGCAACGCCGCGUGAGUGAAGAAGGUCUUCGGAUUGUAAAGCUCUGUCAACUAGGACGAAUGUGUGACUUGUGGAUAAUGAGUCAUAAUGACGGUACUAGAGAAGGAAGCCACGGCUAACUACGUG
RNAcentral lists this ribosomal RNA (161 nucleotides) under uncultured bacterium. RNAcentral describes it as "partial 16S rRNA". It matches the Rfam family "Bacterial small subunit ribosomal RNA", at positions 355 to 507 of the family's 1533-position model. The record is from RNAcentral.